AUGCGGUAUGACGGUACCCUUUCGAAUAAGAGGUUGCUAACUCUGUGCCAGCAGCAGCAGUAAUACAGAGACCUCGAGCGUUAUCCGGAUUUACUGGGCGUAAAGCGUCUGUAGGGGGUUUGUUAAGUUCCAAGUAAAAUCUUAAGGCUCAACUUUAAGUUCGCUUGGAAAACUAAUAAACUGGAGUCCAGCAGAGGUGCAUGGAACUUGCGGUGUAGGAGUGAAAUCCGUUGAUAUCGCAAGGAACACCAAAGGCGAAGGCAUUGCACUGGGCUGGUACUGACCCUGAGAGACGAAAGCGUGGGGAGCAAAACGGAUUAGAUACCCGUGUAGUCCACGCCGUAAACGAUGGAUACUAGAUGUUCGGGGAUUCGACCCCCUGGGUGUCACAGCUAACGCGUUAAGUAUCCCGCCUGGGAAGUACGGCCGCAAGGCUAAAACUCAAAGGAAUAGACGGGGAUCCGCACAAGCGGUGGAGCGUCUGGUUUAAUUUGAUAGUAAGCAAUGGACCUCACCAAGGUUUGACAUCCUAUGACAACCCUGGAAACAGGGCUUCCUUCGGGCAUAGUGACAGGUGCUGCAUGGUCGUCGUCAGUUCGUGCCGUGAGGUGUUCCGUUAAGUCGGGAAACGAACGAAACCCUCGUCGCAUGUUACAAAUUUCAUGCGAGACUGCCCGGGUCAACCGGGAGGAAGGCGGGGAUGACGUCAGAUCAGCAUGGCCCUUAUACCUUGGGCUACACAGGCGCUACAAUGGCCGGUACAAAGGGUUGCAAAACCGCGAGGUGAAGCUAAUCCCAUAAAGCCGGUCCAAGUUCGGAUUGGAGGCUGCAACUCGCCUCCAUGAAGUUGGAAUCGCUAGUAAUCGUGGAUCAGCCAUACCACGGUGAUACGUUCCCGGAUCUUGUACUCACCGCCCGUCACACCAAGAGAGUUGGUAGCUCCUGAAGC
Molecule: ribosomal RNA, 949 nt
Filed under: uncultured organism
Description: bacterial SSU rRNA
Rfam family: Bacterial small subunit ribosomal RNA
Source: RNAcentral